AGAGUUUGAUCCUGGCUCAGGAUGAACGCUGGCGGCGUGCCUAACACAUGCAAGUCGAACGGAGUUUAUAUUAUGAAGUUUUCGGAUGGAUUAAUAUAAACUUAGUGGCGGACGGGUGAGUAACGCGUGGGUAACCUGCCUCAUACAGGGGGAUAACAGCUGGAAACGGCUGCUAAAACCGCAUAAGCAUACAUUGUCGCAUGACAGAGUGUGAAAAUAUUUAUAGGUAUGAGAUGGGCCCGCGUCUGAUUAGCUAGUUGGUAGGGUAACGGCCUACCAAGGCGACGAUCAGUAGCCGGCUUGAGAGAGUGACCGGCCACAUUGGGACUGAGACACGGCCCAAACUCCUACGGGAGGCAGCAGUGGGGAAUAUUGCACAAUGGGGGAAACCCUGAUGCAGCGACGCCGCGUGAGUGAAGAAGUAUUUCGGUAUGUAAAGCUCUAUCAGCAGGGAAGAAAAUGACGGUACCUGACUAAGAAGCCCCGGCUAACUACGUGCCAGCAGCCGCGGUAAUACGUAGGGGGCAAGCGUUAUCCGGAUUUACUGGGUGUAAAGGGAGCGUAGGUGGUUCGGUAAGUCAGAUGUGAAAGCCCGGGGCUCAACCCCGGGACUGCAUUUGAAACUAUCGGGCUAGAGUGCAGGAGAGGUAAGUGGAAUUCCCUAGUGUAGCGGUGAAAUGCGUAGAUAUUAGGAGGAACACCAGUGGGCGAAAGGCGGCUUACUGGACUGUAACUGACACUUGAGGCUCGAAAGCGUGGGGAGCAAACAGGAUUAGAUACCCUGUUAGUCCCACGCCCGUAAACGGAUGAAUACUAAGGUGUCGGGGGGUCAAAAAGUACCUCCGGGUGCCCGCAGCUAACGGCAAAUAAGGUAUUUCCAACCCUGGGGGGAGUACGUUCCGCAAGAAAUGAAACUCAAAGGAAUUUGAAC
RNAcentral lists this ribosomal RNA (931 nucleotides) under uncultured bacterium. RNAcentral's name for it is "bacterial SSU rRNA". It matches the Rfam family "Bacterial small subunit ribosomal RNA", at positions 8 to 916 of the family's 1533-position model. The record is from RNAcentral.